Molecule: ribosomal RNA, 558 nt
Filed under: Paraplotosus albilabris (whitelipped eel catfish)
Lineage: Eukaryota; Metazoa; Chordata; Actinopteri; Siluriformes; Plotosidae
Description: partial 16S ribosomal RNA
Rfam family: Bacterial large subunit ribosomal RNA
Source: RNAcentral
CGCCUCCUGCAACCCAAGUAUAGGAGGUCCUACCUGCCCAGUGAUAAAUUAAACGGCCGCGGUAUUCUGACCGUGCGAAGGUAGCGCAAUCACUUGUCCUUUAAAUGAGGACCCGUAUGAAUGGUGAAACGAGGGCUUAGCUGUCUCCCCCAUCAAGUCAAUGAAAUUGAUAUAUCCGUGCAGAAGCGGAUAUAACCCUACAAGACGAGAAGACCCUUUGGAGCUUAAGAUAAAAGACUAACUAUGUUAAGAGCCUAGCUAAACUAAAUAGAAACUAGUCUAUAAUCUUCGGUUGGGGCGACCGCGGGAGAAAACAAAGCUCCCAUGAGGACUGGGCAAAGACCUAAAACUAAGAGAGACAUCUCUAAGUAUCAGAAUUUCUGACCAUAAUUGACCCGGCCAACGGCCGAUCAACGAACCAAGUUACCCAAGGGAUAACAGCGCAAUCCCUUUUAAGAGUCCCUAUCGACAAGGGGGUUUACGACCUCGAUGUUGGAUCAGGACAUCCUAAUGGUGCAGCCGCUAUUAAGGGUUCGUUUGUUCAACGAUUAAAGUCCU